CCCCUGGUAGUCCACUGGUUAGGACUCAGUGCUUCCACUGCAGAGGGCACAGGUUCGAUCCCUGGUCGGGGAA
This 73-nucleotide transfer RNA is filed under the name Capra hircus (goat). It matches the Rfam family "tRNA". From Rfam's summary of the family: Transfer RNA (tRNA) molecules are approximately 80 nucleotides in length. Their secondary structure includes four short double-helical elements and three loops (D, anti-codon, and T loops). Further hydrogen bonds mediate the characteristic L-shaped molecular structure. tRNAs have two regions of fundamental functional importance: the anti-codon, which is responsible for specific mRNA codon recognition, and the 3' end, to which the tRNAs corresponding amino acid is attached (by aminoacyl-tRNA synthetases). tRNAs cope with the degeneracy of the genetic code in two manners: having more than one tRNA (with a specific anti-codon) for a particular amino acid; and 'wobble' base-pairing, i.e. permitting non-standard base-pairing at the 3rd anti-codon position. Lineage: Eukaryota; Metazoa; Chordata; Mammalia; Artiodactyla; Bovidae. RNAcentral also lists the same sequence under 1 other name. The record is from Rfam by way of RNAcentral.